Cavia porcellus (domestic guinea pig) is the source of this 64-nucleotide transfer RNA. It matches the Rfam family "tRNA". Rfam says of the family: Transfer RNA (tRNA) molecules are approximately 80 nucleotides in length. NCBI's taxonomy places the organism in Eukaryota, Metazoa, Chordata, Mammalia, Rodentia, Caviidae. The record is from Rfam.
GGGGAUUUAGCUCAGCGGCAUAAGCGCCUGCCUUGCAAGCAGGCGGUCAUGAGUUCAAUCCCCG